AUUGAACGCUGGCGGCAGGCCUAACACAUGCAAGUCGAGCGGAGGAAGGGAGCUUGCUCCUGGAUUCAGCGGCGGACGGGUGAGUAAUGCCUAGGAAUCUGCCUGGUAGUGGGGGAUAACGUCCGGAAACGGGCGCUAAUACCGCAUACGUCCUGAGGGAGAAAGUGGGGGAUCUUCGGACCUCACGCUAUCAGAUGAGCCUAGGUCGGAUUAGCUAGUUGGUGGGGUAAAGGCCUACCAAGGCGACGAUCCGUAACUGGUCUGAGAGGAUGAUCAGUCACACUGGAACUGAGACACGGUCCAGACUCCUACGGGAGGCAGCAGUGGGGAAUAUUGGACAAUGGGCGAAAGCCUGAUCCAGCCAUGCCGCGUGUGUGAAGAAGGUCUUCGGAUUGGAAAGCACUUUAAGUUGGGAGGAAGGGCAGUAAGUUAAUACCUUGCUGUUUUGACGUUACCAACAGAAUAAGCACCGGCUAACUUCGUG
Molecule: ribosomal RNA, 484 nt
Filed under: uncultured bacterium
Lineage: Bacteria
Description: partial 16S ribosomal RNA
Rfam family: Bacterial small subunit ribosomal RNA
Source: RNAcentral